GCUGGUGGCUGCGGACGCCGGGGUCCCGAGGCAUGGCGGGGGCGGGGCCGGGGGAGGUGUGCACCGAGCAGGCUAGGGCGACCCUUGCCCUGGCCCCAUGAGCCAGGACUCGACAGACUGCACCAAAGCGUCUACCAUGUGCCAGCCCCAGGGCGAGAGGAGUAUUACCGCGGUGACUGAAGUAGACCUGGUUACUUCAGUAGAGAGAAUACUGUUCAACGAGGAGACUCAAACAUUAAACACAACCAUGCAAGCGAACGUAGAUGUUAUAAUGGAUCAUCAUGUUUCCACAAUUAAACCUCGAAGAAUCCAAAAUCAAAAUGUUAUCCACCGCUUAGAACGUCGCCGCAUCAGUUCAGGCAAGGCGGGGACUCACUGGCACCAGGUCCGAGUGCUCCACCAGAACGUCUUCCCCAACUUCACGGUGGUCAACGUUGAAAAGCCUCCUUGUUUCUUGCGUAAAUUCUCCCCUGAUGGGCGCUACUUUAUUGCAUUUUCAUCUGACCAGACAUCUCUUGAAAUCUAUGAGUACCAGGGCUGUCAGGCAGCAGAGGACCUCUUGCAGGGGUACGAAGGGGAGAUCUUGUCCAAUGGCAAUGACCAGAGGUCAGUCAGCAUCCGAGGCCGGCUGUUUGAGCGAUUUUUUGUCCUGCUGCACAUUACCAAUGUAGCGGCCAAUGGUGAGCACUUGAACCGGGAGUGUAGCCUCUUCACAGACGACUGCCGCUGUGUCAUCGUGGGCUCUGCUGCCUACCUCCCAGACGAACCUCACCCUCCUUUCUAUGAGGUGUAUCGGAACAGUGAAUCAGUGACCCCCAAUCCACGGUCCCCUCUUGAGGACUAUUCCCUCCACAUCAUUGACCUUCACACUGGCCGACUGUGUGACACACGCACAUUCAAGUGUGACAAAGUGGUCUUGUCACACAAUCAAGGGCUAUACUUAUACAAAAACAUCCUGGCCAUAUUGUCUGUGCAGCAGCAGACCAUCCAUGUCUUCCAGGUGACUCCUGAAGGCACAUUUAUUGACGUUCGGACCAUUGGCCGCUUCUGCUAUGAGGAUGACUUGCUCACUGUGUCUGCUGUUUUCCCUGAGGUGCAGCGGGACAGCCAGACGGGCAUGGCCAAUCCUUUCAGGGACCCUUUUAUCAACUCCUUGAAGCACCGGUUGCUGGUUUAUCUCUGGAGGAGGGCGGAGCAGGACGGUAGCGCCAUGGCGAAGAGGCGCUUCUUCCAGUACUUUGACCAGCUGCGGCAGCUACGCAUGUGGAAGAUGCAGCUGCUGGACGAGAACCACCUAUUCAUCAAGUACACCAGCGAAGAUGUAGUGACGCUGCGGGUCACAGACCCGUCUCAGGCCUCCUUCUUUGUGGUGUACAACAUGGUGACCACAGAGGUGAUUGCUGUGUUUGAGAACACGUCGGAUGAGCUUCUGGAGCUCUUUGAGAACUUCUGCGACCUCUUCCGCAAUGCCACCCUGCACAGUGAAGUCCAGUUCCCUUGCUCGGCUUCUAGCAACAACUUUGCAAGGCAGAUUCAGCGCCGGUUCAAAGACACAAUUAUAAAUGCCAAGUAUGGAGGGCACACGGAGGCUGUGCGGCGGCUGCUAGGCCAGCUCCCCAUCAGCGCCCAGUCCUACAGCGGGAGCCCCUACCUGGACUUGUCUCUCUUCAGCUAUGAUGACAAGUGGGUGUCAGUCAUGGAGCGACCCAAGACUUGUGGAGACCACCCAAUCAGGUUCUAUGCCCGGGACUCUGGCUUGCUGAAGUUUGAGAUCCAGGCGGGCUUGCUGGGCCGCCCCAUCAACCACACAGUGCGACGUCUUGUGGCCUUCACCUUUCACCCCUUUGAGCCAUUUGCCAUUUCUGUGCAGAGGACUAAUGCAGAGUAUGUUGUCAACUUCCACAUGCGACACUGCUGCACCUAGUCACCUCAGUACAACGUGCUGUCCAGGACAAUAAAGCAAAAGCUGCUAGCUGCCUGCUUUCGUCGGUGUUCCAGACUGGUAUACCUCACCUACAGCAGAGCCUGAGAGACUGGGCGGGGUGCAACCUGGUGGGACUCUGUUUCAAGUUCUCUCGCUUUCCCUUGUGGGAACACCUAGCAUUAAAGCCAUGUUAUUUUGUUUACUUAGCAUUUUAUGUCUGUGGAGAUAGAGGAACUUACACCCUCCCCCCUUGAUGUCACUCUUCAGCAUUAUGGUGUGCAGCCUGCAGCAGGCCUGAGGGGGACUUUCUUGUUUCUUCAGCCCCUUCAAAGACUGCUCCCAGCUCUGGUGACUGACUUCAACUUGACCUUUCUCCAGUUUCAACUCCUGGCCACUGAAUGAAAACUGGUAGCAUCUCAAGUGGUGUCACAGCCUCUGUUUCCAGCAUACCUAUGUCUGAGGGGACCCGAGCGCCUCAUCCCUCUGCUCCUUGCAGCU
RNA transcript from Apodemus sylvaticus (European woodmouse), 2422 nucleotides. It is a transcript of the gene named DET1 partner of COP1 E3 ubiquitin ligase, with no coding region annotated. The transcript is spliced from 7 exons. The record is from RefSeq and is a predicted model, not a curated record. Lineage: Eukaryota; Metazoa; Chordata; Mammalia; Rodentia; Muridae.